RNAcentral lists this ribosomal RNA (470 nucleotides) under uncultured Enterococcus sp. RNAcentral's name for it is "bacterial SSU rRNA". It matches the Rfam family "Bacterial small subunit ribosomal RNA", at positions 38 to 479 of the family's 1533-position model. The record is from RNAcentral. Lineage: Bacteria; Bacillati; Bacillota; Bacilli; Lactobacillales; Enterococcaceae.
GGCGGCGUGCUUAAUACAUGCAAGUCGAACGCUUCUUUCCUCCCGAGUGCUUGCACUCAAUUGGAAAGAGGAGUGGCGGACGGGUGAGUAACACGUGGGUAACCUACCCAUCAGAGGGGGAUAACACUUGGAAACAGGUGCUAAUACCGCAUAACAGUUUAUGCCGCAUGGCAUAAGAGUGAAAGGCGCUUUCGGGUGUCGCUGAUGGAUGGACCCGCGGUGCAUUAGCUAGUUGGUGAGGUAACGGCUCACCAAGGCCACGAUGCAUAGCCGACCUGAGAGGGUGAUCGGCCACACUGGGACUGAGACACGGCCCAGACUCCUACGGGAGGCAGCAGUAGGGAAUCUUCGGCAAUGGACGAAAGUCUGACCGAGCAACGCCGCGUGAGUGAAGAAGGUUUUCGGAUCGUAAAACUCUGUUGUUAGAGAAGAACAAGGACGUUAGUAACUGAACGUCCCCUGACGGUAUC